This 1244-nucleotide long non-coding RNA is filed under the name Cucumis sativus (cucumber). Its description in RNAcentral is "long non-coding RNA (CSAT_LNC001813)". The record is from RNAcentral. Lineage: Eukaryota; Viridiplantae; Streptophyta; Magnoliopsida; Cucurbitales; Cucurbitaceae.
AUUUUCAUCUUCUCUCAGAUGUAACAACCGAAGAUGAUUCAUCUUCAUCUGCUCUAAGGUGUCGCAAGUGAGAGGAUUCAUCUUUGUCUUCUCCUAUGUGUUGCAACCGAGAGGAUUCAUCUUCAUCUUAUCCUAAGAAUUGCAACUGAGAAGAUUCACCUUCAUCUUCUUUCAGGUGUCGCAACCAAAGAAGAUUCAUCUUUAUCUUCUUCCAGGUGCUGCAACCAAAGAGGAUUCAUCUUCAUCUUCUUUCAUAUGACGUAGCCGGAAGGAUUCACCUUCAUCUUCUUCUAGGUGCUACAACCGAGAGGAUUCAUCUUCAUCUUCUCAUUGGAAUUGCAACUGAGAAGAUUCAUCUUCAUCUUCUCCUAAGAGUCGCAACCGAGAAGAUUCACCUUCAUCUUCUUUCAGGUGUCGCAACCAAAGAAGAUUCAUCUUCAUCUUCUUUUAGGAGUUGCAACCAAAGAGAAUUCAUCUUCAUCUUCUUUCAUAUGUCGUAGCCAGAAGGAUUCACCUUCAUCUUCUUCUAGGUGCUACAAUCAAAGAUGAUUCAUCUUCCUCUUCUCUUAUAUGUCAUAGCUGAGAAGAUUCAUCUUCAUCUUCUCCCAGGUGCUGCAAUCGAAAAUGAUUCAUCUUCUCUCAUAUGUCAUAGCCGAGAGGAUUCAUCUUCAUCUUCUCCCAUAUGUCAUAGCCGAGAGGAUUUAUCUUCAUCUUCUCCCAGGUGCUGCAAUCGAAAAUGAUUCAUCUUCUCUCAUAUGUCAUAGCCGAGAGGAUUCAUCUUCAUCUUCUCCCAUAUGUCAUAGCCGAGAGGAUUUAUCUUCAUCUUCUCCAGGUGCUGCAAUUGAAUAGGAUUCAUCUUCAUCUCCUCCCAUAUGUCAUAGUCGAGAGGAUUCAUCUCCUUCCAUAUGUCAUAGCCGAGAGGAUUCAUCUUCAUCUUCUCUCAUAUGUCAUAGCUGAGAGGAUUCAUCUUCAUAUUCUUCCAAGUGCUGCAAUUGAACAGAAUUCAUCUUCAUCUCCUCCCAUAUCUCAUAGCCGAGAGGAUUCAUCUUCAUCUUCUCCUAUAUGUCGUAGCUGAGAGUAUUCAUCUUUAUCAUCUAACAGGUGUCGCAACCCGGCCGAUGGAAUUCAUUUUCAUCAGCUCUAAGGUGUCGCAAGCUAGAUGAUUAUCUUCAUCUUCUCCCUGGUACCACAACCAAGAAAGAAAAAAAAGGAGAAGCAAGAAGAAGAAAGAAUGAAGAAGAAAG